UUUCCGUAGGUGAACCUGCGGAAGGAUCAUUCACAAUAAGUGUUUUAUGGCACUUUUUCAAUCCAUAUCCACCUUGUGUGCAAUGUUGUCUUGUAGUGCGAAUGCUUGUCAUUUGCGCUACAGGAUGUAAACACCAACUCUUAUCUUUAACAACUUUGUCUAAAACCUGUAUGAAUACUUAAUUCAAAAUACAACUUUCAACAACGGAUCUCUUGGCUCUC
Molecule: unclassified non-coding RNA, 221 nt
Filed under: plant metagenome
Description: partial contains small subunit ribosomal RNA, internal transcribed spacer 1, and 5.8S ribosomal RNA
Source: RNAcentral